CCAGGAUGUUGGCUUAGAAGCAGCCAUCAUUUAAAGAAAGCGUAACAGCUCACUGGUCUAAAUAAGGGUCUUUGCGCCGAAAAUGUAACGGGGCUAAAGCCAUACACCGAAGCUUAGGGUUCGUGAGUAAUCACGAGCGGUAGCGGAGCGUUCUGUAAGCUGAUGAAGCCGUACCCGUGAGGGGCGGUGGAGGUAUCAGAAGUGCGAAUGCUGACAUGAGUAACGUAAGGGGAGUGAGAGACUCCCCCGCCGAAAGACCAAGGGUUCCUGCUUAAAGUUAAUCUGAGCAGGGUUAGCCGGCCCCUAAGACGAGGCGGAAACGCGUAGUCGAUGGGAACCACGUUAAUAUUCGUGGGCCUGGAGGUAGUGACGGAUCACACAAGUUGUCC
RNAcentral lists this ribosomal RNA (389 nucleotides) under bacterium M00.F.Ca.ET.180.01.1.1. RNAcentral's name for it is "partial 23S ribosomal RNA". It matches the Rfam family "Bacterial large subunit ribosomal RNA", at positions 1093 to 1491 of the family's 2925-position model. The record is from RNAcentral.